RNAcentral lists this non-coding RNA (23 nucleotides) under Cricetulus griseus (Chinese hamster). Lineage: Eukaryota; Metazoa; Chordata; Mammalia; Rodentia; Cricetidae. The record is from RNAcentral.
AGCUAAGUAGCCAGGGAUUCUGG